UUGAAUUUUAAUGAAGAGUUUGGUUGUAGCUGGCCCAUUCAUUUGGGCAUGUGCACACCUUCCUCUUUCAUCCCACACACACCUGUGAACCUGUGAGACAGAGAUGGGGAAUUUACUUGCUGCUUUUUGGAAUACAAAGGCAAUAGGUUAUUGGACCCCCCCUCUGUCUACUCAAUUAAUAUAAACUCAAUUUAUUUUAAAACGAAUGUAAUGGAUGUAACACAUCUCAUACU
This 233-nucleotide unclassified non-coding RNA is filed under the name soil metagenome. RNAcentral describes it as "partial internal transcribed spacer 1". The record is from RNAcentral.